UACGGAGGAUGCGAGCGUUAUACGGAUUUAUUGGGUUUAAAGGGUGCGUAGGCGGGAUGCCAAGUCAGCGGUAAAAAUGCGGUGCUCAACGCCGUCGAGCCGUUGAAACUGGCGUUCUUGAGUGGGCGAGAAGUAUGCGGAAUGCGUGGUGUAGCGGUGAAAUGCAUAGAUAUCACGCAGAACUCCGAUUGCGAAGGCAGCAUACCGGCGCCCUACUGACGCUGAGGCACGAAAGCGUGGGUAUCGAACAGG
RNAcentral lists this ribosomal RNA (252 nucleotides) under uncultured bacterium. RNAcentral's name for it is "partial 16S ribosomal RNA". It matches the Rfam family "Bacterial small subunit ribosomal RNA", at positions 524 to 776 of the family's 1533-position model. The record is from RNAcentral.